Molecule: RNA transcript, 9608 nt
Organism: Erpetoichthys calabaricus (reedfish)
Lineage: Eukaryota; Metazoa; Chordata; Cladistia; Polypteriformes; Polypteridae
Gene name: serine/threonine-protein kinase WNK4-like
Exons: 21
Source: RefSeq, a predicted model, not a curated record
GACUCUUGAGCAGAGCGCACGUACAGUAGGCAGAGGCACACGAGUUUGCAGAAGGGUGAGUGCUGUGUGUUUGGGGGUGGUAGCGGCUGAUUCCUCGUGAAUAGAAGGCGGCGAGAAGACAUCGUGCACGUGUGAUUCCCAUAAGCUAAAGGAUCGUCGCUAAGUACAGAGUGUGCCUGCCACUCGAGGUCCGCCGCAGGUUGCCUCCCGCGGCUAUGGACAAACGGACUUUCAGGCACAGAGGACCCUGGAAACGUUAACAAAACGAGGGAAAUGUCGCUAAAGCCGAGAACAGUUGGCACGUAAUGGGAGAUCAAGCUGUGACUAUAUUUAGAAAGUUUUUUUCCAGAGAGUGCGCUCAAGCGCCACUUCACCAUGCCGCUGACUUCUUCUCACUCUUAGAGCCAUGUCCCAAACCGAAGUGGAUCUGGCGGGAUGUGGCAUCCCCCUAAGUCCCAUCCUGGACGAGGACUCCUGUCUUCCUUCGCUCCAUGUCACGCCGCAGCGGCGGAGGAGACCGUCAGGCAAUGUCCGUCGCAAUUCGCACAGGUUCAACCGGAGGGACUCCACCGAGUUGGACACCCUGGUGUUCGAAGGAUCGCCUUCUUGGUCCACUGAGAGCAGGGAGGAGAUCUGCGUGGACCCCACACCGCUGCCUCUGCCUUUGCCCCAACCUCAGCACCUCCAAGCCCAGCUUCGUUCGCAGAACACAGUGGAUAUCAGUUCGGACUCGGAGGACGAGAGCGGCCAGCAGAAGCCCGCUCAGGUCGUUCAGAGAGCCCCUUCGGUUGAGAGUCGCUUGGAGCUGGAGGAGAAAGAGGACGUGGAGACCAAAGCGGUGGCCAUCUCACCUGACGGCCGUUACCUGAAGUUCAAUAUCGAAAUCGGAAGGGGCUCCUUCAAGACAGUCUACAAGGGUCUGGACACGGAGACCACGGUGGAGGUCGCCUGGUGUGAGCUGCAGACCCGAAAGCUGACCAAAGCUGAGAGACAGAGAUUCAGUGAGGAAGUGCAGAUGCUGAAGGGACUACAGCAUCCCAAUAUUGUCCGCUUCUACGACUCCUGGAAGUCCACUUUGAAGGGACACAAAUGCAUCAUCAUGGUCACAGAACUCAUGACGUCAGGCACCCUCAAAACGUAUCUGAAGAGGUUCAAGGAAAUGAAGCUGAAACUGCUGCAGCGAUGGAGCCGACAGAUCCUGAAAGGUCUACAUUUCCUGCACACUCGCUCUCCCCCUAUCAUCCACCGGGACCUGAAGUGUGACAACAUCUUCAUCACUGGGCCCACUGGUUCUGUCAAGAUAGGAGACCUGGGUCUUGCGACACUGAAGAGCGCCUCAUUUGCCAAAAGCGUCAUAGGCACUCCAGAGUUCAUGGCCCCAGAGAUGUAUGAGGAAAAGUAUGAUGAAGCCGUGGACGUCUAUGCCUUCGGGAUGUGCAUCUUGGAGAUGACCACGUCCGAGUAUCCGUACUCUGAGUGCCAGAAUGCUGCCCAGAUUUACCGGAAAGUAACAAGCGGCAUGAAGCCAGACAGCUUCUUUAAGGUCAAAGUUCCUGAGCUGAAGGAGAUCAUUGAAGGCUGCAUCCGGAUGAACAAAAAUGAAAGAUACACCAUCCAGGACCUUCUGGACCACACUUUCUUCCAGGAGGACAACGGGGUGCAUGUGGAGCUGGCUGAGGAGGACGACCACACCAAGUCGGCUCUGAAGCUGUGGCUACGGAUGGACGAUACAAAGAAGCUGCAUGGCAAAUACAAAGACAACAAUGCCAUAGAGUUCCUGUUUGAACUUUAUAAAGACCUGGCAGAGGAAGUGGCGCAAGAGAUGGUGGUCCUGGGUUUUGUUUGUGAAGCAGACUACAAACUGGUGGCCAAAGCCAUACGUGACAGGGUGACAGCCAUCAAACGCAAGAGGGAAAAACAGAGGCGCAUGGAUGAGGAGAAGAAGAAGAAGCAAAAAGAGGAGGAGGAAGAGGAAAAGAAGCAACAGGUACCAGUCAGCAGGCCGGAAGCGACAGGACCAGUGGCGAGUUCCCCUCAGCCUGAGGUGGGCAAGGCUAGCAGUGUGGCUACACCCCCUGCCACUCCUAGGGCUGCCCCCACAGGCUCGGCUGACUCUGGAAUUAAUGCUAACUUCCUGCCUGAGCCGGAAGAGCCCGAGGCGGACCAGCACCAGCACUAUCUGAUCCGGCACACCAGCUACUCAUCUGCUACAUCUGACUGUGAAACCGAUGGGUACCUCAGCUCUUCAGGGUUGCAGGAUCAGCAAACCCCCAGUACCCCUGUUCCUGAGAUGCCCACCUGCCUCUCCCCUAGAGUGCCCCACAGAUUUCCAUUGACUAUAGCAGUCAGCCAGCAGCCGGAAUGGAUGCCCUCGAGGCCAGCGAGUGGGUUCUCUUCUCCAGUGGACAGCUAUGCCUCUGAUGUGACAUCGGGGAUGAGCGAUGGCUAUGAGGGGUUGUCAGCGUCCGAGAGAAGCAUAAAGUCCCCAGUGAAGCGCACCUCUGGGAAACUCCUUCGCCGGAAAAACCGCUCUAGACUGCGCAUCCUCAGCCUAUCUGACAAGACAGACCGAGUGAUUGAGUGUCAGCUGCAGACGCACAACAACAAAAUGGUGACCUUCAAAUUUGAUCUGGAUGGAGACAGUCCUGAAGACAUUGCAGCAGUAAUGGUUGCCAGUGACUUCAUUCUACCUGCGGAGAAGGACAGCUUCCUCCUUCGAAUCCGAGAGAUCAUCAGUCGGGCGGAGAGCUUGAUGAUGAAGGAGAGCGAGGAUGGACAUGGACAGAGGGUGCCCACGACCAGUGGACCUGUGGUAUUCUCUGCCUCUCAGCCCAACUUGCAUAUGCCAGAAUUGUUACGAUCCUGGUCUUCAUCAUCCUUACCAGAUUUUGUGUCGGCUCCAGCUUUGUCGCCUCCCAGCAGAUCUUCUCUGGACAGCCCGAUGUCUGAAGGGUCCUUCUACAUUGGCGCAGACGUUACCUCACCCGGCCAGCCAGCGAGGCCCCCUUCGACCCCCUCUACUCCAGCAUCUCCAAAUGUCUUCUACCAGGCAGCUGUACCCUCUCCAGCAGGGAUGGCUUCCCCUUCAGCAUCUGCCACGCCACUCAGCCCCCAACAGAAUGUCCCUACCUACAACCCGGCACAAUACGUCCCAGAAGAACUCAUGUCCCCUUAUUCGGUGAACUUAGGCCCUCCACUGUACACUCACCCCUCGCACCACCUCACCCAGCUGGCAGGCAGCCACUUAUCAUCCCCACCAUCUCCUGUACCACCCAGACAGCCCAAUCUCAUCCACACGGCAUAUCAGGAGGGGUUUGUGGGCCAGCACCAGGACCCUGUGGCCAUUCCUCUGGUCACACAGGCUCAGCAGCAACCUCUUAACAUGUGGCCCCCACCUGCUCAGCCCGUCUUUUCACUGGCAAAUGUACUGUCCCUGGCAAUGAGCGUAGCGCAGUCCUUCCUACCUCCUGCUGGUCCAGCUGCCAGCACGCUAGCCCAUGGGCUACCACAAGGGGGCAGCUAUGUCCAGCCACUGCCAGUUCACAUUGCAGCCCAGCCACCCUACCAUCCGAUGUACCUUCAGAUGCCCAUCUUUCACGGGACGCCACAUCCUGCCUACAGUGCCACCAUCCAGCCCAAUCAGCCUGCCUCUUUGGAUCAUCACAGACCUCCUGUCAUGUCCAGUACUGUGGGGUCCACUGAGGUUCUGCGCCCAGGUCCCCCGACGGCCUCUCCUGCAGGUCUACUGCCAUCUUACUUUCAACAUUCUUCUUCUGCCAUCUCGGUGCCCGCAGCUACUCAGCUCGUCAGUAGUUCCCCCGUCCUGCCAGCCAGCCCAGCAAGCUCUGCGCCCCUCGUUUCCUUGGAUGAAUCCUCAACUCCACAGCCACAGUCCUGGCCGGUAAUGAUGACAGCAGGGGGCGCCAGCAGCUUGGUGUCAUCGAGCCCGAAGUCCGCAGCUGAUUUGGAGUCUCUGGGGACGAGUCCUAGCAAAGCCAGGCUGUCACCCAUCCACGAAGAAAUCAAGCCAACAGUCGUUGGGAGAUUCCAGGUAACCCCAAGCAAAGAUCACACGGCAGCUACCGCCUCCAAAAGCAGUCCUGGCAAAGAAAGCGACACAGAGAGCAGCACAGAAGAUCAGGAGGACUCAGAGGGGACAUCUGUCAUCAUGCUCCCCACAUUGUCGUCAGCGGCUGAUGGCGAUGUAGGCAGUGACCAGCAUAGCUCCAGCCAUGGCCCUGAACAGGAGGAAGAGGAAAGAGAAAAUAAGAGUGAAAAAGAGGAGGAGGAGGAAGAGCAGCAGCAACCGUCACAAUGUGAGCAGCUGGACAUCUUCAAUGAGACGGAGAGCAAAGCCUCAGACAGGGGUGGUGGGGGCACCAGUCACUCCAUGCCACUGAAUGUCUGGCUGCACUACUCCUACAACACAUCGUACUUCAGCAGUGAUGAGACAGAGAGUGAGGAAGACAACGACAUCUGGGAGGAACUGCAGACCCUGCAAGAGAAGCACAUGAAUGAGGUGCAGAACCUUCAAGCUUUGCAGAAAAGGGAAAUUGAGGAGCUUUAUGAGAAGAUGGGCAAGGUGCCACCGCCAGGAAUUGUGUCGCCAGCCGCCAUGCUGUCGAACCGCCAAAGACGUCUCUCUAAAGGGGGCGCCUACCCCUCCUCGCGACGCAACAGCCUGCAGCGGCUGGAGAGUCUGCCCCCAGCGGGGAUAAUGAGGAGGAACUCUCUGACGGGGAGCAGCAACGGAUCACAGGAGCGAACGUACAAGGGCGUCACGUUCAGCGGGGACUGCGGCAGGGUGACGGUGAUGGAUGGAGAAGCCUUCUAGACUACCUCAGCUGAUCCAGACACACCAGAGGACUGGCCAAGCACUGAUGGACAACGAGCACAUGUGCUUUCAUGUCCUUCCACCCUCUUGUCUACUCACGAAAAAAACAAAAAAAAAACAAAACGGGUGGCAAGGAGCAGGCAAGUCAAUGCCAAAGACUCAAAUGAAAGUGAGGACAUGGUGUCCUUCGGCCCACGGGACAAUGGGAGUUCUUUACGUGAAGCAUGAUGGCACUCCACGGGCAGACGAAGAAGAGAUGGCAAGCCGACUUGACCCUCACCUUUUUAGCGACUACGAUUGUGCUGAUCUGCUGCUAGCCCCCCACCCCGUCCUCUACCCCAAAAACAAGACUUGCUAAAGGUGGUCCUUUGUAGGAAAACAACCAAAGUAAGGAGACUUAAAACAGCUGCAAGUGAAAUGGCGCCCCCCAGUGGACACAGGGUUAAGUACACCCUGUGACGUCUCCAGCAGACACUUUUAUUUUGGGCUAGUGGGUUGCAUGGUUAUGGAAUUGCCUCAUUUUGACUCAUUCUGCCCCUAGUGGAUAUAUAGGGUAUAGCACUGCAGAUCCCAAUGAGGAAGGAGGUCCUCACUGCAGCAUGCGGAAUGGGGUCUGCCUAAACACGGACAGCGUUAAGCAUUUAAUUCACAGAUGUCCCCCUGAGCUCCAUAUGGUGGACCGGAAAGAUGUGACCUGCACAGAAACGCUUUUGUAAACUUGGAUUACUUGACAAUCGUCAUUAUUUGAGUCGGAUAACCCCCCCGUACAGUACGAUAGUGUAACCAGCCGCUGUGACCUGACAGCUGUCACUACCAGCGUGCAGAAUGGGGUGUGACGCCUGUGGAUUGUGGGCAGAACUCAACAUGUAACUCAACCCAUGUCCAGCCACGCCCCAUUCCACACGCUGCAGUAGGGGGGGGGGGGGGGGGUGGUAUGCUUGAGCCCCAGUAGAUGUUCAGGGUUAACCAUAUUGACUCACUCUGCCUCAGUGGAUAUACAGCAGUUAGCACACCAAAUCACUCUGCAACUGCAGAGUUUAUCACAUUGACUCACUCUCGGCCCCCUAGUGGAUGUACAGGUUUAACACACCACAUUGUGCUGCCCCCAGUGGAUAUUCUGGGCUCAGCACACCAGCUUACUCUUUAACUAGUGGACAAAUAAGGUCUAUCACACUGACACACUCUAGGCUCCAGUGGAUAUAAAGGAUUUAACACUCUGCCCCAGUGGAUAUAUAGUGUUUAGCACAUCACUCACUCUGUGACUAGUGGGGAUAUGGAGAUUAGGAAUUUGACUCACUUUAGGCUACUGGUUUAUUACAUUGACUCACUCUGCCCCUAUUGGACAUAUAAAGGGUUAACUACAUUGACUCACUCCAGGCCCCAGUAGAUAUACAGCAUUGAACACACCAAAUCACUCUGUGACUAGUGGGGAUAUGGAGUUUAUGAAUUUGACUCACUGUAGGCCCCCUAGUGGAUAUAUAGAUUUAGCACACCACAUCACUCUGCCCCUAGUGGAUAUAUAGUGUUUAACACACCAAAUCACUCUGUGGCUAGUGGGUGUAUUGAGUUUAUCAUGUUAACUCACCCUCAGCCCCCUAGUGGAUAUGCAGGUUUAACACACCACAUCAUGCUGCCCCUAGCGGAUAAUUCUGGGUACAGCACACCAACUCACCCUGUAAUUAAUGAAUAUAUAGGGUCUAUCACCCGGCUCACUCUAGACUGAAGUGGCUAUGAAGGAUUUAACACACCAAAUCACUCUGUGACUACUGAGCAUAUGGACUUUAUAAAAGUGACUCUGUUUAAGCCACUAGUGGAUUUAUAAGGUUCAGCACACCACAUCCCUCUGCCCCUAGUGGUUAUACUGGGUUCAAAACGCCAACUCACUCUGUCCUUAACAGGCAAGCAGUAAAAUUUAUUGAGUGUAAACCUGUACCAAAAAUAUCCUGCAGGUGGCACCAGUGUCUUAUGCGGCAUUUCCUGAGCCCGGUUGUCUGUUUGGGAGUCGUAGCCUCUUCUGUCACCAGUGGGCACAAUAUGGUAGACUCUCUGGACAGGGUGCCAGUUCCAUCACAGGGUGGGUUCACUCAGCUCCAACUGGCAGUCACUGGUUAUCCAAACCCGACUGAUUGAGUGACAUUUUCUACGUUACACUCGUAGGCAGAGUUUUAAGUCAUUGAUGAGGCCGAUUCCUUGCUUUCCAUGAUGCUCUGCCCCCUAUUACUGCUCAUGAUGUGCCUCCCUAUCCAAGGAAAUAACAGCCCUGUGUGCAGCAUAUUAUUUCAAAAUCUGACAUGGCUGGGCAUAAGGGGAGGGUCAAUGGGCAGGGUUUGGGUCCCUGAGACCCCAAUGGUGUACAUUAAAGGCACUUCUAAGUCUAAACUGAUGACCUGUUAAGGAAUGACAUGCCACUGCUGGUAUUUGAUGACAGGCAGCUGCACCGUCAACUAUUGCUGGUGAAAUGCCAACCACAUGCCCCGGCUAUACAAAGCAGGGCUUGUGCCCACAUAAAUGAGGGCUGCUUUAACGUGUUUUUUUUUUCCCCCUCAGCUCCAUCCUUUUUUAUUUUUUUGAACAGCCAAUGUAAGGACAUCAUUUCUAAAGGCACUAUAUAAGUAAAACAUCACAGCUCCAAGGCUGCCAUACCACAACCUGCGUGAGGCUGGCAUUUCCUGCCGUUAAGGGGCAGAUUCAGUUUCACCACCUUCAGUGGGCACCCAACUGAGGAUAAACCAGUCCAGCUGAUGAGAUCCUGGUUUGUGCCCUCAUUGAACCUCCUCAGGUCUGGGUGGGGUAGAGGGAGAAGAAAACCCAAUGGUGUGAAAAAGUAAGUGCACCCCAUGAAAAUGCUUGCUGUUUGUCUACAGAUAAAGCUGAGAGACCUGAAUAAAAAUACAAAGAAUUCUGGCCUUUUGCAAUAAUUAAUUCAACAAAAACAUUAACAGAUGUAAGGGCCUAAUUUCUUAAUGUCAAUGCCUCACUGGCAAAGGCUAUCAUUAUUUGCAUAUAGCGCCUUUCCUCACUAGUCUACUAUACCUCACGGGCUCAAUAGCAGCAUAAAUAUAAAAGAGCCUCAUAAUUCAUGGUCAGAACCUCAAUUAAAAAUAUUUUGUAUAGCGCUCUUCACUGAACCUCUUACCAUCUGUAUUUCCAUUUAGCGCCUUUGCUUACCAUGUUGUUCACACCCAACAGUAAUGGAAACUGAACAUCAUUCAGUAAUACCCUGGUUAAAGCUAGCCAUCAUAGUCUUCAUUUUGAUAUAGUGCCUUUCCCACUACUUUACUUGUAUCAACCUGAAUAGCAAAGCAUUUAGUUAAUUCCAGAGUCAGAUUGUCAGCUGAUGUCAUCUUUCUGUUGAUAUAGUGCCUUUCAUGGUGAGCUUGCCCGGGUUUGGUACUAACCAAAAACAGAGAAUCAGUUUAAUGCCCAGAGUCUUCUGAUCUGAAGCUUUCCAGCGUCAUGUUGAUAGCAUAGCAUAGGGUUGUCCAACCCCGGUCCUGGUGGGCUGCAGGUUUUCAUUCUAACCAUCUUCUUAAUUAGUGAGCCGUUUUUGCUGCUCAUUAACUUGUUUUUUUUUUUGCCUUCAUUUUAAUUACUGUGACUCAGGCCCCUUAGUUGUCUCUUUUUCUUUAAUUAGCAGCCAAACAAUAAUGAGACACAAAACAAGCCGCCACACAACCAGCUCCCCCUGUGCCCAUCACACAAUAUCUGAAAAUAAAGAAAGGUGAAGGUCUCGGUGAGGUCUGUCUGCUCAGUUCACCAAAACAUUUUAAUGGCGUUCUUAGAAAAUCAAGAAAAAUCAACAGUUUCGGAAAUGUCUGCUGUGACAGAAUGAGAGCAGCAACAAGGCAUGGAAUUAAAUAACGGGCUUAAACACCAGCAAGACUCGGCUUCUCAUUAAGAGAUUGGUUGGAGUUUGAAACCCCAGUUUAGCUGCUCAUCUGUCGGCUCGUUUCACGUCUCAUUUCUGUUUGGCUGCCAUUUAAUGAAGAAACGAAUCAAAUCAGAGGACUGAAAAACAGAGCUAUUAAAAUGAAGGGAAAAGGACUUCAUUAGCAGUGAAAGCUGAUUAGGAAAAGGGUUAGAAUGAAAACCUGCAGCCACUGCGGCCCACCAGGCCUGGAGUUGGACACCCCUGGUAGAGCGCCUUUCACGGUUGUGGAUCCUUCUAGGAUGUCAGGACACGACUUCACAUUCUCAGGUUAAGUCAGAUUUGAACCCAUAACCUUAAAUUGAAGCUACUGGGGCGCACACGGCAGAGCUCCCUGCUCCGUAGACCCCACCCAGCGGCGCCAUUGGCCGGCGAUCCAGUAGGGGCGUGGCUUAAUCGCCUAUCGCGGAGAGAAGCACGAGGAGGCGUCCGUUGACUGCCAACACAAACGUGGUGCCUUUUGCUUUGCCUUUUUUAAUAUAUAUAUAUAUAUAUAUAUAUAUAUAUAUAUAUAUAUAUAUAUAUAUAUAUAUAUAUAUAAAACAGACUGCUGAUGAAGAUAAAACUUUAUAAAUAACAAUGCAAUGUUCUCUUUAAAACGCUAGCAAAUGUGUCAAAUAAAACUUAAAUAAAAUGUCAAAGAAUUUCUGGGACCAAUGCGUUAUUUUUGUGCAAAUAUAUCAAGUGAGGAAUCCUGGAUCUGAAAUGUCCAGCAGAGGGCGCCAAUGUACCAUGCACUCAACUGUUUCAUUAAUUGCGGGAGUCGUAGCCUUUUUUUUGUCGACAAUGGCGUCUUCUGCACAGGAUGCCAGUGUCACCACAGAGUGGGCACCACUCAGGUCCAAG